RNAcentral lists this ribosomal RNA (236 nucleotides) under uncultured bacterium. RNAcentral describes it as "partial 16S ribosomal RNA". It matches the Rfam family "Bacterial small subunit ribosomal RNA", at positions 15 to 244 of the family's 1533-position model. The record is from RNAcentral.
GAUCUGGCUCAGGAUGAACGCUAGCGGCAGGCUUAACACAUGCAAGUCGAGGGGCAGCAUAAUGGAUAGCAAUAUCUAUGGUGGCGACCGGCGCACGGGUGCGUAACGCGUAUGCAACCUACCUUUAACAGGGGGAUAACACUGAGAAAUUGGUACUAAUACCCCAUAAUAUCAUAGAAGGCAUCUUUUAUGGUUGAAAAUUCCGAUGGUUAGAGAUGGGGCAUGCGUUGUAUUAG